GUAAGGAAAGAAUAGUUUCAUUUCUAAUGCAAAGGGUAUAGAGGGAAAAGAAUCCCAGUGCUCCCUUGUCAGAUUUGCACUUUCUGUAAAGUGCUGUACAUCAGAUUGGCCUUGUGCUAGGAUAAGAAUGCAGGACAAUUAUUAAGUGUGGACAUCAAAGAAAUCUUUCAUCAAGAUAGAAAAAAAAGGAAAAGAAAGAACUUGGGUUAGUAGGGUUUUAUAACUGGAUGUUUCAGAAUGAUUGUCUGUAGCUCUACAGACAGAAAGGACCUCUCAUGGAUGAUUUUACUAUAAAGGAUGGGAAAAUGUAUGAAAUUAUGUAUGUCAAGUGUUUCCUGUAUGUACGUGUGUAUAUGUACCAUCUGUCUUGGUGUGUGAGGUCUGGAAUUUGCCCUUUUGAUGAUCUUUUACUCUGAAAAUACCUGAAAGGCCUCGAUAGCUUUUUCACCCCUAUAUAUAGGGGCUACAAGUAUAUGACAAAGGAUGUCACCAACAAAGGGCAGUUUGUUUAAACUUGACUAUGCAAUUGCCUUCCUGUUUGAUUUAUUGUCUGAUGAGCUGUGAAAUGUCAAAUUGGGUGUAGAUAUGAUGCAAGAAAGUUUCUGGAAUUCCAUAUUCUUUUUAAGAAAUAUCAAAGUGAGGAUAAUUUGCACAGGGGUGGGAAAGACCCUCUCGUCCUGGGAAGAAACAUUGGGAGCAGGGAGCAGAGAACAGUUGCUGGAGGUGCCGGUACUGGGACCACGGGACCAGGUUGAAGGGGUCAGAUGGGAACCGUGUGCCUGCUCGCCCCAUGGCCAGCAGGGCUUAUCCUGGGGGUCGAAGCAUCCAGUGGUGCUUCCAGAUGUUUUCUUCCAGCUGUUUUCAGUUUGUAGACCGAGGAUUUCAGGCAUCUUUUCAGUUUCUAACAGUGAUUUCCUCCAGUUCCAUCACCAGCUUGGCUGCAGCCUGCUCAGGAGGAGUAGGAUAAAAAAUUGCCAUUAAAAAUAUAUUGGAUUGUGAGAAGGCGUGAGAGUUGUCAUAGGGACAUGGAGGUUUAUGAAAAACUGCAGCUGCGAGCAGAAUCUCCGGAGGCUCCAUCGCUCCCGAAGCUCUGGGCUGGUGAUGGUGUCUGCCAGGUCUUGAAGGGAUUAAGGAGCAGGAAUGGGCAAUUGCUGUCCUCGUUCUGCUUGCUCACGUCUCAAAUUAGCUGUGCUGUGCACAUCACAUCUUUGCUGCUAUUUUUUCAGGGAUAAGGACAGCAGUGUGCUCGCCUCCUCUAGCAUUAACUCUGUGAGAAAGGAAACAAACGGGCGAGGAAUUAGGUCAGGAGCAACAGGGCACCUUUGAUUUUUCCGAGUUUUAUUGUUUUUCCUUUUUGUGGCAAGAAGAAAGAAUAUAAAUGAACACUAAGACUUGCAGGUGCCUGAAAGAUAGAUUUGACCUAGAUAUUUCACAGUAACCAUAACUGGGAUAUUUUACAUGUAAUUUAACAAAAAUAUGUUAAUAAAGAAACCUAUCCAAAUUGGCAACCUAGUUGGUGAUAUAGGAAGCCUGUAGAGAGAAUCAGGUGUAGGUGGCACAAAGUGAAACCCCACUACAAAUAAAACAGGGCAGAGAGAAAGCUAAAGCAAUGGUGAGUGCCUCCCCACCCCAGAAUUAGUUGCUUUGAAAGUUUAGCCGGACUUCUGCUGCUCUUCUCCUUGUUUAUAUGUGUGAAUCACAAUAUAUUGUAGGAAUUAGUUGUUAUUUCGUUCACUACACCAAUACUCCACAGCACUGAAUAUACAGCUUUUCUGUUGCCUGGAUGGACAAUUUUGAGAAUCAAACUUGCUUAUGCGUACGUCACCUGAUGUGCAAAUCAAAAAGGACACAGGACAAGAGUCUGCAACUUUUUGCUGAGUACAGAAGCACUUCUUUUUUCAUUCAGGGGUUACAGCACCGGCUGCAUUGUCUGGAGAACUCAGCUGUCUUGUUAAGGCUGGUUGUACUCUAUGUCAGGCAACUCUUACAUGUUAUUUCUAGGUGCAAGAAUAACACUCAUUUUUUUGCUGUCACAAGACCAGAUAACAAAGACUGUGCGCCCAGUUUUGAACACUCUCCUUUAUUCCUCUCCCCUGUCCAAGACAAUACAUGCUCCUUAAAUCCGGCACGCUGGCUUUCCCGUCAUUAAACCCCCUUCCCGUUGCCUCUGCAGAGCUGGUUGGCGCGUCUCUGUUCCGAGCCCAUCGCUGAGCCCACAGCAGCACCUUCUUUCUUGGGAAGUAUCUUAGAUGGAUGCUAUUACCCUUUUCACAUUUGUGUGGAAUAGUGAUUUUUCAUUUUUGUUUUAUGCAGCAGGAAAUUUUAUAGACCGAAGAUGUCUUCAGCCUCACCGCAGAAAUUAGUUGUCCCAGUCUGAGCACACCAAUUGAAUAAAUCACAUAUUUCAUGUGCUGCUGUUUCCAUGAGUAUAAACCUUUCUUUCUGGAUUUCCAAUCAAGACGAUGUGUUUUAGGUGCAUGGAUUUCUUGUCAGAUAGAAUACUGAAAUAUGAGAUAAGUGCACUGAAUAUGUAUAGUCUUUGAAUAUAUGGUCAAUCAGUUGGACGAUCUGUGCAUGAACCUCUUUUGAAGUUUUGUUAAAUAACGCAGAUUCAUUGGAAACAACUGGAUGUACAUGCAUUUGCAGUUCUAGUGUGUGGGUGGAGUAUCCAUUUUUCUCCUAAGCAAAGAAGAACCACUUGGGCCCAGGCCUGAACCCCCACUCUUCUCUGGAACUAAUACACAUAUUUGCAGUUAAGAAUAUAUUUAAGCAGAUCUUUAAGUGUACGCUUGGAAUCAGGGCCUUGAAGAUUAGUACUUUUAAAGGGGAAAAAAUACCCAUACUUGUUCUAGGAGAAAAGCAUUAAAAAUAGGAGUGUAGGCUGGAUACCAAAGGGUUGUGCUGUUUGAAAGCACAAAUUACACACUCAUAAUGGGUCUGUGGACAGUGGAAAACCCAAGUGCUCUGUGUGAAGAGGUUCCAAUAAUUGUUAAUUUGCUCAAAGCAAAAGGUUUUAAAUCUAGAGAAGCCCUGUUAUUUAAUAAAGACCAUUCUCCUACAUUUCUGCCUAUAAAGUGAAUUUAAAAUGAAAAUUAAAAAGAACCUUACUCUUGUUAUGGAGCUCUAGAUGGUUCCUAGAGCUCCUGUCUCUGAAGUAUUGUGCCACUGAGGAAUCAAUUAAAACACAAUGAACCGGUCUGUUUGAAUGGUUCAGACACAGGCUUGGUGUGGAACUGAAGCUUGGGUGGGAGCAGCUGCUGAUUUUGAGGAAAAGGGGAGAGGAAAGUUGGGCAAAUGAAAAUAAUAUUGUGCUCUAAGCCCUUAUUUCAUUUCAGGUGCUUAUAUGUUUGUAAUUCUUGGUUGUGGGCACUUGGCUGAGUUUGCCCCAUGUGUCCAGCUGCUUCCAAGCAAACAUUCAAUAGCGUGACCAGUCUCGUCUGCAUAAAUGUUUGACUGUAAAACUGAUGCGCAGUUGCACAUUUAAUACUCCAAAGCUGUUUGCUGAGUGGAGAAUUGUUCUCAAGCUGCUCUGGGGAAGUCUCAGAGCUCUCUGCUCUUCUUUGUCUUCAUGCAAAAAUUUUUUCGGCUAAGUCAAUAUAUAUCCCGAACUGCCUGUGAGUAGCUCUGCAAUAAGCACUGUUGCUAAACAGCCGCGUUUAAUUGCUUCAUAAUAAAAGGAAAGUUAUUUUUAAAAAAGAAAACUAUUUUCUCUGGCUGAAACCUUUCCCUCAAGGUCUAAUUCACGGUUUGAAUAAAUAGCAUCUCUAGAGCAGCCGUGUCUGCUGGGCGAGGGAAGAGCGGAACGGUUUGGAACUGGAAAUCAGCUGCGCUGUGCCAUCAACUCUGUUGACUCUGUUGCCUUCUGCUUAUUUCCAGUACAUGCUGUUAUAUAAUGGCCAGACCUGGAAGAUCUCGGGAAGCAGAAAAAUAGAUCUGAAACAAGCAAAUGUUCAAGAUAAUAUUGCAUUAAAGAUCACAGUGAAUAAAGAGGCUGUGCAGUAAGUGCCUGGGGCAGACUGGUCGGGGAAGGGAGAUCCUGAUCCAGGGGCUGAGGUUGAAAAUGAACAACUAACACGAUAAAUGUUUUCAGUUUUUAUUCUUCAAUGACAGAUGUAUUUGGAUGUGUUCAAUUUUGGACUGCAAGUAAACAUUACAUAAGCUUUUCUAAUUUUUGUAGGAGUCGGCUUUUCAAGCAAAACCAGAUCCGGUACUUUAAUGCCACUUGAACUAACAUUGUUUAUUCCUCUAAAAAGUGCAAAAGCCUAUGAAGUGUCUGUCGACAAUGCUAAACUGCCUUUCUUAUCUUCCUGAAUAGAGGUGUAAAUGACAGAGUGAACAUUUAUUUUCUUCUUAGGACAAUGUAACCCAACAGGAAUUUGAAUUUAACUGACAUUCCGGUGACACCCACACAGGGCUGAGUGAUACAAUCCCAGUCUGAGGGUGCAGACAGCAGAUCUGCCGAGGCCUUUGCAAUUAUUGCCCUGCAAUCUUCCACUAUGAGCAAAUUCCCGUUUCUGGUUAUGCUGCCCAGGGCAAGUGCACAGUCCUUGUGUGGGAGCACAGAGGCAAAUAAGCAGAACUUUAUCAUUUUAAACGGAGGAAAUAAGAUCUGAAAAUCCUUGAAAUGCUACAUACACUCAAAAAAAACACAGGGGACCCGAUUAUUGCUGCACUUCGAGAUGCUGCCAUUUCACAAGGCUGGAUUGGCCAUGAGAUGAAGGGAUUGCCUACCACCUGUUGAGCUGUUAGGAACAGCAGGUGUUAGGUAAUUCUAGCAAUAUCAUUCUAGAUUGGGAUUUAUAAUUCUUCAUUUAGUUGCACAUUUCAUAGAAACAAACUAAAUGUGAUUCCUGAUGAUCUCAGUCAUUAUAGAGAAAAAGAAUGCUUUAAAAACCUGGUGCCUUAAGACUAUAGCCUCUCAAUUGUGAAGAAAAUAAUUUAUCUGAUGUCCAGUAAUUACAGCGGCCCAAGAGAAUAUAUGAUGGUGAAGUCCCAAGCUAUGGAACAGCUCCAACCUUUUUUAAAACCACUGGAAUUCUUACAUAUUCAAGAAGAGAAAAGCACAAUCCCCCAAGUUUUCUUGGUGCCAAGAGAUACAGUCUAUGGCCAGGUAAUAAUAACAAAGAAGAGAGAGAAAUGCAGCCAGUGAUGAACACGGUGGAGAAGCACGGAUGGUAUCUGCGGGAUCAGCUUCUGGUUUCACGUCCUUUUAUCCUGCAGUUUAACUACCAGCCUUGCACCCUGUUUUCUGCAGGAGGUAGGAGCUGUUUUCCCAAGAGAUGGGGGAAGGACAGUGAUGCUCUCCUAUGGACCCAAAACCAUGUAACAUUCUCUGUCCCGGAUCCCUCAGCCCCCUUUCUGCCGAGCACAAGGUACCUCCAUGUCUGUGGUAAGGGGAUGUUUUCAUUGCAAGAUUUUCCGUACUUUGCUCAUGCAAAUGAAGUUGCUCUAUUUUGCCUAACGGCUCUGUGAGUUACAGCCAGCUUAUUGUUUUAGAAAUAAAGAUAUUACUAUGCAAAUGGCUCGGGAAGGUGUUUCUUCUCAUUAGAGAAUGGAGAUCGUUUGAUAAAAGAUGCAAUGUGCUUCAUCUGUAAAAAGGCUCAGCAAAUUUGUCUUGUCUCAACAGCACUGGAACAACAAGACCGAUCGGAUAAUGCAGCAGAGAAAGCACAGGAGACAAAUGGUUUAUGACACUCAGGUUACCUUUACUGUGCAAGGUGGGCGUGAAAUUUUUUAUGGUGAGACAAAAAAGAUGAUGGGCAAUUAACUACAAACCCAUGCAGCGGGUUUAUCAUAUGCUCAGCUCAUCCAUCUGUGUCUCAGUCUCCAGCGGACUCAUGAGUUUCAUCAAGAAAACCAUUUUCAAACCAGCAGACCAAAACAGAUCGUUUUCGGCUCCAAGCUCCAUCGAGGCUUUGCAGUAGUUUUACCUUAUGUUUACGAUUUAUGGAUGCAACAUAUACACGCAGCAGAAAAGAGUGGUCCAAACAUUUUUCCCCUUGCAGAGUACAUUUUAAAGUAUUUUUCAUUCAGGGACCAGUUGUGCAAAUACUCCCAUGCAUGUAAAUAGCUUUAAUAAGAUUAACUCAAUUAAAUCCUUCGGGGUGAGAUGGUAGAUGCGGUGUGUAACUGCAUUUAAAUUCCAACUUGUGUCCUGUGAUGACUCUGAUAGAAAAGGUUCAGGGAAGCGGGAGAAGACGGAUGAGCUGGUGGUUAAAGCACGGGCUCAGUAUGCAAAAUCCCAGUGCUCAGUUUGAGCUCCUGCUGCAGCCUCUGUGUGACAUGGGCUCCAUCACUCGCUCAGGUUUGAGCUCCUGCUGCAGCCUCUGUGUGACAUGGGCUCCAUCACUUGCUCAGGUUUGACCUGUAAAGUCAGGAUAACCGCUUUUUGUUUGUACCAAAAUAGUUAAUAUUGAACUACUGCCCA
Molecule: long non-coding RNA, 6427 nt
Organism: Columba livia (rock pigeon)
Lineage: Eukaryota; Metazoa; Chordata; Aves; Columbiformes; Columbidae
Exons: 3
Source: RefSeq, a predicted model, not a curated record